Molecule: ribosomal RNA, 671 nt
Filed under: uncultured marine bacterium
Lineage: Bacteria
Description: bacterial SSU rRNA
Rfam family: Bacterial small subunit ribosomal RNA
Source: RNAcentral
CCUAACACAUGCAAGUCGAGCGGAAACGAGUUAACUGAACCUUCGGGGAACGUUAACGGCGUCGAGCGGCGGACGGGUGAGUAAUGCCUGGGAAAUUGCCCUGAUGUGGGGGAUAACCAUUGGAAACGAUGGCUAAUACCGCAUAAUAGCUUCGGCUCAAAGAGGGGGACCUUCGGGCCUCUCGCGUCAGGAUAUGCCCAGGUGGGAUUAGCUAGUUGGUGAGGUAAUGGCUCACCAAGGCGACGAUCCCUAGCUGGUCUGAGAGGAUGAUCAGCCACACUGGAACUGAGACACGGUCCAGACUCCUACGGGAGGCAGCAGUGGGGAAUAUUGCACAAUGGGCGCAAGCCUGAUGCAGCCAUGCCGCGUGUGUGGAGAAGGCCUUCGGGUUGUAAAGCACUUUCAGUCGUGAGGAAGGCGGUGUCGUUAAUAGCGGCAUCGUUUGACGUUAGCGACAGAAGAAGCACCGGCUAACUCCGUGCCAGCAGCCGCGGUAAUACGGAGGGUGCGAGCGUUAAUCGGAAUUACUGGGCGUAAAGCGCAUGCAGGUGGUUAGUUAGGUCAGAUGUGAAAGCCCGGGGCUCAACCUCGGAACUGCAUUUGAAACUGGCUGACUAGAGUACUGUAGAGGGGGGUAGAAUGUCAGGUGUAGCGGUGAAAUGCGUAGAGAU